GACGAACGCUGGCGGCGUGCUUAACACAUGCAAGUCGAACGAAGCAAUUUUUGAAAGACCCUUCGGGGCGUGGAAGGGAUUGACUGAGUGGCGGACGGGUGAGUAACGCGUGAGCAACCUACCUACAAGAGGGGGACAACACUCGGAAACGGGUGCUAAUACCGCAUAAGACCACGGCAUCGCAUGGUGUGGUGGUAAAAGAUUAUAUCGUUUGUAGAUGGGCUCGCGUCCCAUUAGGUAGUUGGUGAGGUAACGGCUCACCAAGCCAGCGAUGGGGAGCCGACCUGAGAGAGGGAGCGGCCACACUGGAACUGAGAGACGGUCCAGACUCCUGCGGGAGGCAGCAGUGGGGAAUAUUGGGCAAUGGGCGAAAGCCUGACCCAGCAACGCCGCGUGAGGGAAGAAGGUUUUCGGAUUGUAAACCUCUGUCCUUGGGGACGAACGAAUGACGGUACCCAAGGAGGAAGCACCGGCCAACUACGUGCCAGCAGCCGCCGUAA
Molecule: ribosomal RNA, 500 nt
Filed under: uncultured bacterium
Lineage: Bacteria
Description: partial 16S ribosomal RNA
Rfam family: Bacterial small subunit ribosomal RNA
Source: RNAcentral